This is a long non-coding RNA of Ictalurus punctatus (channel catfish), 3680 nucleotides long. RefSeq lists it as uncharacterized. The record is from RefSeq and is a predicted model, not a curated record. Lineage: Eukaryota; Metazoa; Chordata; Actinopteri; Siluriformes; Ictaluridae. The transcript has 2 exons.
UUAGAUGGUUUCACUGGUCCUCUCAGAAGAUAUGGAGGGUACUACAACACCCAAACAAGGACUUGAACCCUGGACCCUCAGAUUAAAAGUCUGAUGCUAUAUAUAUAUAUAUAUAUAUAUAUAUAUAUAUAUAUAUAUAUAUAUAUAUUUCAUUAGAAAAAGUGCAGUACAUUUUCAUGGUACGGUCAGUACUGUUUAUUUUUGUAAUAAAGUGAACUUAAUUUUUCCACUGAGUGUUAUAUUUUCAUUCAGUAGUAAUCGGUUAUUAGUAGGUGCUACCCGACUUGGUUAUCGGCAUCUGUAAGAUCCACUGUCGAUCAGCCUUUAAAAUAGAUUAAUGUGUAUGACAUGAUCUUCUUUAAUUAAUAACGAAAUGCGCUUGUUGACAACUUGCUGUGGUGUAAGGGGAAUAAAACACUUCAGAAUGUGCAGUUCUACCUUAGGGUGAUAACGGUCACUCCACUUCAUUGGAUCGUUGACUGUUUUCCUAUAACCGUAUGUUUAUUCCUUACAUAAAUUAAACACAAAGCAUGUAGGGGUUCUACAUGCAUGUAGUAUUUGUACAAUCAAUAACCUAUUAGAGUAAUACAUUGUGGUAUAUAAACUGAACUUUGUGUUUGAUGUGUCUGCAGUGCCCAAAGCCCGUGGUGGUGGCAGUGCAUGGCGUUUGUGUGGAAGCAGGUCUGUUGGGAGUGUUAAGUACCAUCAUCUCAUACACUCACCACAACUCUGGGAAGUUCCAUCCAUAUUGUUUGCUGUCACUUUUCCUGCAACGCUUUAACCAUCAGAGAGUUAUCUUUUACUGGGGCUUUUAGCUGCAGGAGACUGAAUUACUAAGUUUUUUUUUUUGUGGAUCUGAUUUCUUCUUUCGCAGGAGUGGAUCUAAUCACAGCCUGUGAUAUUCGUCUGUGCACACAGGAUGCCUGGUUUCAGGUGAAGGUAUGAGGAACAUUAACUUGCCAUACAUUGCUUGCUUACAUGUUUACACCAAGAUCUGUAAACAAGCUAUUUUUGUCCAUAUGAUCAUAUAUAGAGAUAGUAAGUGAUGAGAAGAUAAGAAUGGGCUGAUUGUUCUGACUCGUACAAGCCCCUAUGAAAGAGUUGACCACAAGGGGGCACACUCUGAACAAUUAUUUACAUUUGCAGUUUGUUGAAGAUUAAAUAAACCACUGUGAGCAUCAGAUGUCUGGUUUUAAUACAAAGUUUUAUGAUGAACUAUUUUAUGAUAUUACCAUCUUGUCAUUUAUCAAAGAAGAGCUACAAAACCUGAAAUUUGUUCAUUUUUAGACAGAAAAAUUCUGCAGUGUAGCUCUUCUAGUGGGCUUUCCCACUGGAUGUUUAGUCCAACACAGAGCAGUUUGCAUGAAAAGUUGGUAAUGUGACCGUCGUAAUGUGGACUGGGAAGUGCACUGCGGUACCGAACCCGAGACUACCUGUAGAAGGUGGUCCGAGUUCAGUUACAAUGGAACUGUGAAUGUGAAUUGUCCCAUGAAUGUGAACGUAACUUGUAUCCGGGUCUGCACUUUUUCAGGAAGUAGAGUAACCUGUGCUGAAGGCCUGUUGUGGUGAUGACGUGUCAUGACAUGUUUUGGCCCAAAUUUGCAGUGACUUUGAAAAAGUGGAAGCUCCUCUGAAUAUUGUGGAGUUUCUUGAUUUUGCGUUAAUUUCUGUGAUCACAAAAAGGUGAAAUUCUGGACUGACACAUGGAAGAUAUGGAAUGAUAACAGAAGAAUGUGACUUUGGGUUGUACCAUGUAUUUUUUUCAUGUAGCUUUAUUAUUUAGUAUAAAUGAAGGCAAGUGUGUGUUCUGUUCUUCAUCUCUGCAGUCGUGUGUUCCCUGAUAGUCCAUGAUUGCUGGAGCUCUGGAAAUAGCAGGUGAGAUUGCAGGCCGGAGUCGCGUCGCUGUCCAAGGAACCAAAAUCAACCUCCUCUACUCCUGAGACCACAGUGUGACUGAGAGCCUAGACUACAUGGCUACUUGGAACAUGAACAUGUUGCAGACACAGGAUCUUAUGAAGUCAGCGCAGGCAGCCCUGGAAAAGAAGAGUCCGAAAGACGUGCCCUUCUCCAAGCUUUAAAGGAGAAGAUCCAGGGCUGUUGAAGCUGCGGUGGAACUGAGACUUCAUCAUCCACAGAUCUUUAGUUCUUCUUGCUAAGUCUGUUUCUUUUUAGUCUUUUUAUUUUUAGACUGGUCAAAAGACUGAUUAGUGGAAGUGAAAUGAUAGAUGAACUUUUAUUUACUUGCUUUAUUAUUUGCAGGUGCCUUGUACAGUAAGACAGGGUAACUAAUACUCAAAAGCUUUUUUUGUGUGUUAACAUGUACAGUAGAUGGACAUAUUUUUUCUGGUGCUGUGACUGCAGAAUGUAGUGCAGUUAACACAUUAAAUUUCCUUGGAUGCUCACUUUUAACUCUAGGAGGUCACAGUUUGCCCAGACAUCUUUUUUUAAAUCCGUCAAUCCGUCACCCACACGUCAUUCUGAGGGACGAAGAGGAGGAAGCUGGACAGAUAAAUUUAUUUAUUUAUUUAUCAUUGCUGUGUUUCCUCAAUCGAGUGCAGAAAGAAGAAAAACAACACAACUGAUUUAAAAUAAAAAUAUAGAAAAUAAUCUAAUGUAAGAUUCUGAUCCGGUUUGCUUUCAGCAGGAAGGCUGUCCUCUUUCCUGUUGCUCUUUCUCUUCUAUUAGUCCAUUUGUCCAGUCUGAAUCGGUUUUGAUUCGUUUCGAGACGAUUCGGAGUCGAAUAAUUUUCUAGUGAGAGUCGCACACUUCCAAACGAACUAGACUGAGAUGAGUAUUUGAUUCUCACUAGAAAGUGAUUCGACUCUGAAUAAACUCGAAAUGAAUCAGUCAAACUGAUUCAGACUCUAUAAAAGGACUAUGAGAUGUGAUUAAGAUAUAUAUUCCAAUGUUUUGCUUUACAAUUCCAUUGUGUGUGUGUGUGUGUGUAUGUGUGUGCGUGCGCGCGCACGUGUGUUUUUCAGGAGAACGAGAAACUCGGACACAACAGUACAUCCUGACCAUUGGUACUGUGUACACAUCAACAUACACACACGUCUCCAUGCUGGACAUCUCAGGAGCUUUCACACAGUGCUAGGAAUAUCCCGGGACAGAGAAACGCACCUUCUAAGUGAGCGAGUUUAGCGUCAACCGGUGAAAUUUGCUGUAGCGUGAACACUUCGCCUCUGUGAGCUUCACUCUCCGUAGGGUUCACUGUAAUUAGACAUAAAAUGUACAUAGUUUAUUUUUCAUGCAUUUAGGAAUUAAUGUUUUUUUUUUUUUUUUUACUCUUCGAGGAACAGAAAUGAUCUUUCGAGGCAGCUUCUUCAUCACUACCUGCUCCGUUUGACUCAAAAAUGUAACGACCGGUUUCAAAAAGUCACGAUGUCUUCAGUUCAUGAGAUUUUACUGUUGAAUUUAAACAGGAAAUGUGAAAUAUUUUUUCCCUUUGUUUCCUCUACUGUCUUUUUGCUGUGAUCUUGAACACAGUUGUAAUUUUUUAAAAAAAAUAAUAAAAAAAUGAUAAUUCUAGUUCUCUCACUUUCCUUGUCCUAAUUGUCCUGUAUCUGUUAAAUCCGUUUCAUCUCUGGUCUUUCUGUCUGUAUGAACACUUGUAGAAAUGACUUGUAGUCCAUAUUUUUAAAUGAUUCGUGAUUUUGAAUUUAAAUAAAGAUAUUCUUUAA